This 187-nucleotide long non-coding RNA is filed under the name Callithrix jacchus (white-tufted-ear marmoset). RNAcentral's name for it is "lncRNA (ENSCJAG00000078330.1)". Lineage: Eukaryota; Metazoa; Chordata; Mammalia; Primates; Cebidae. The record is from RNAcentral.
AAUUAACAAGGAGGGGCCUGUAACUCUAAGAUGGUUUCUUCAGUAAUGACUAUUUUCUUUUACAAGACGUGAGUAUUCUCUACCUUCUAAGAGACCAGCAUUGCUCAUCAAUGCUGAGCAAUGGAAAGUGAAGGUGUUCAGUUUUGAAGAUCAAACUGACUUAUUGAGCCAUCUGAUUGAUGUUAAG